RNAcentral lists this ribosomal RNA (253 nucleotides) under uncultured bacterium. RNAcentral describes it as "partial 16S ribosomal RNA". It matches the Rfam family "Bacterial small subunit ribosomal RNA", at positions 524 to 776 of the family's 1533-position model. The record is from RNAcentral.
UACGUAGGUGGCAAGCGUUGUCCGGAUUUACUGGGCGUAAAGAGCGCGCAGGCGGUCGUUCAAGUCGCGUGUGAAAGCCCCUGGCUCAACUGGGGAGGGUCACGCGAUACUGAUCGACUCGAAGGCAGGAGAGGGUAGUGGAAUUCCUGGUGUAGCGGUGAAAUGCGCAGAUAUCAGGAGGAACACCAAUUGCGAAGGCAGCUCGCUGGGACGUAACUGACGCUGAGACGCGAAAGCGUGGGGAGCAAACAGG